RNAcentral lists this small RNA (554 nucleotides) under Pongo abelii (Sumatran orangutan). Its description in RNAcentral is "retained intron". The record is from RNAcentral. Lineage: Eukaryota; Metazoa; Chordata; Mammalia; Primates; Hominidae.
GGGUGGGUAGAGGUGCGCGCCUGGGACCUGAACAUGGACUUCCCGUGCCUCUGGCUAGGGCUGUUGCUGCCUUUGGUAGCUGCGCUGGAUUUCAACUACCACCACCAGGAAGGGAUGGAAGCGUUUUUGAAGACUGUUGCCCAAAACUACAGUUCUAUCACUCACUUACACAGUAUUGGGAAAUCUGUGAAAGAAACCUGUGGGUUCUUGUUGUGGGGCGGUUUCCAAAGGAACACAGAAUUGGGAUUCCAGAGUUCAAAUACGUGGCAAAUAUGCAUGGAGAUGAGACUGUUGGGCGGGAGCUGCUGCUCCAUCUGAUUGACUAUCUCGUAACCAGUGAUGGUAAAGACCCUGAAAUCACAAAUCUGAUCAAUAGUACCCGGAUACACAUCAUGCCUUCCAUGAACCCAGAUGGAUUCGAAGCCGUCAAAAAGCCUGACUGUUAUUACAGCAUCGGAAGGUAAAGAGGGGCUGGUCUAUCUUUACUUGAAAACAAACAACACAACACAAAGGCUCCCGACAGGCACCUGUUGGCCUUGGCAAGAGGAGAUGUG